CAUGGCUGAAUCCAGGGAUUAAGGAUCCAUCUCUCUCUCUCUGUACUGCUGUCCCCCUUGCAGGCUUCUCUCCGAGGAAGGCUCAGCCUUUCCCCAUGGAAGCAGGGUGUCCCUUUUCCCAUUCACUUCAGCAAGAGUUCCAGCGGAUGACAUACUCCUUCAGGACGCCGGGGCAGGUGCUCAGCGGGGACGGCUUCCAGUCCACAGAGACAAAGUCCAGGCCACCUUUAUUCACCGACACGUGCUGUGGGAUCCCGGCCACCGAGGCUGCAGCCAGCACCAUUGCCACAGUCAGCUCUAAAAGCACUGAUUGAGCACUUCCAGCCCAGCACUGUCCAGGUUUGAGUCACAGCAAGGCCGUCUUUUGGAAUGUGACUUUGGCCUAUGGCCUCUCACCCCCCAAGCCUUGAUUUCCUCACCUGUGAAGUGGGAAUAAUCCAUUACUGAACUACAAGGUGGGACAACGGCCACACAAAGAAUUUAGCACUGGCCUGGCACACAGUAGGUGCUCAGUUAAUGCG
Rhinolophus ferrumequinum (greater horseshoe bat) is the source of this 521-nucleotide long non-coding RNA. RefSeq lists it as uncharacterized. The transcript is spliced from 3 exons. NCBI's taxonomy places the organism in Eukaryota, Metazoa, Chordata, Mammalia, Chiroptera, Rhinolophidae. The record is from RefSeq and is a predicted model, not a curated record.